CAGCUUACAUUCCAACCAGCAAUGUAGAAGGGUUCCCUUUUUUCCAUUCCCUCUCCAGUAGUUAUUAUUUGUCGACUUUUUAAUCAGGGCCAUUCUGAGCAGUGUAAGGUGGUACCUUAUUGUAGUUUUGAUUUGCUUUGCUCUAAUAAUUAGUGAUGUUGAACAUCUUUUCAUAUGCCUGCUGGCCAUUUGUCUGUCUUCUUUGGAGAAAUGUCUAUUUAGGUCUUCUGUCCAUCUUUUGAUUGGGUUGUUUAAUAUUGAGUUGUAUGAGCUGUUUGUAUAUUUUGGAAAUUAAGCCUUUGUCAGUCACGUCAUCUGCAGAUAUCUUCUCCCAGUCCAUAGGCUAUCUUUUUGUUUUAUUGAUGGUUUCUUUGCAGUACAAAAGCUUAUAAGUUUGAUUGGGUCCCAUUUGUUUAUUUUUGCUUUUAUUUCUCUUGCCUUGGGAGACUGAAUGGUACAAGUUAUGUCACAGAAUGUUUUGUCCAUGGAAUUUUAUGGUGUCAUGUCUUACAUUUUGAGGGUGUGUCCUUAACUUCAUUGAUUUACAUGUGGAUGUCCAACUUUCCCAACACUGAACACAGACUGUCUUUUCUCCAUUACAUGUUCUUGCCUCCUUUGCUGAAGACUGACUGUAGGAUGCUUAUUCAGUCCAUGCCACUUAUUUUAUGUAAACCAUACCAAUUAAUGCAGACAAAGGAAGCGCUCAAGAAUAUGAGGAGUGCUCAUCAGCUUGCUGACAGUGAGUAUUCUCAUUGCAGAUUUAGAUGCUCAUCCAGUUUUUUAUUAUAUUCAUAAUGGAGAAUGAAGAAGAGGGGAACUAAUAUUUAUUGAGCACCUACUGUCUGCCAGCGUGGUAAAUGUUGAUACACACAAGCACAGCUCACAGUGUCCUCAACACCUUUCCAGUGUAUCCAGGACCCUGAGAGACAGAGUUAAGAACCGCUGCCACCCCCACUUCUGCCCGGUUAACCAGGCUCCUUGGAGAAGCAGCCAGUUCCAGAUGUGGAGACAAGUGCGAGGUGAGUGCAGAGUAUCUUGUUCCCGAAGCAAGU
Bos taurus (domestic cattle) is the source of this 1052-nucleotide long non-coding RNA. NCBI's taxonomy places the organism in Eukaryota, Metazoa, Chordata, Mammalia, Artiodactyla, Bovidae. The record is from Ensembl.